AUAGGNAUUGUCUCCUGCGUGAGCGGACGAAAACAACAACACCUAAAAUGUGGAAUAUAGCAUAUAGUCGACAAGAGAAAUCUACGAAAAACAAACAAAACUUUCAACAACGGAUCUCUUGGUUCUCGCAUCGAUGAAGAGCGCAGCGAAAUGCGAUACCUAGUGUGAAUUGCAGCCAUCGUGAAUCAUCGAGUUCUUGAACGCACAUUGCGCCCCUCGGCAUUCCGGGGGGCAUGCCUGUUUGAGCGUCGUUUCCAUCUUGCGCGUGCGCAGAGUUGGGGGAGCGGAGCGGACGACGUGUAAAGAGCGUCGGAGCUGCGACUCGCCUGAAAGGGAGCGAAGCUGGCCGAGCGAACUAGACUUUUUUUCAGGGACGCUUGGCGGCCGAGAGCGAGUGUUGCGAGACAACAAAAAGCUCGACCUCAAAUCAGGUAGGAAUACCCGCUGAACUUAAGCAUAUCAAUAAGCGGAGGAAAAGAAACCAACAGGGAUUGCCUCAGUAGCGGCGAGUGAAGCGGCAAGAGCUCAGAUUUGAAAUCGUGCUUUGCGGCACGAGUUGUAGAUUGCAGGUUGGAGUCUGUGUGGAAGGCGGUGUCCAAGUCCCUUGGAACAGGGCGCCCAGGAGGGUGAGAGCCCCGUGGGAUGCCGGCGGAAGCANUGAGGCCCUUCUGACNAGUCNAGUUGUUUGGGAAUGCAGCUCCNANCGGGUGGUAAAUUCC
RNAcentral lists this ribosomal RNA (719 nucleotides) under Pichia kudriavzevii. RNAcentral describes it as "eukaryotic LSU rRNA". The stretch from base 418 to 719 matches the Rfam family "Eukaryotic large subunit ribosomal RNA", at positions 1 to 307 of the family's 3401-position model. Lineage: Eukaryota; Fungi; Ascomycota; Pichiomycetes; Pichiales; Pichiaceae. The record is from RNAcentral.